AGCUUUGUGCAAUUACCACAAGGGCUUAAAAAGUAAUAUUCACUGCACCUGAGGAGCUUAUAAUCUAAUGGGGAAGAAAAGAUAGAGAUCGCAGGAACUGUAGCCAGCACUUUGAACUGAACCUGUGCAGAGUUGGGAGACAGCAGCAAGAGUUAGAGAAGGAAAGCCACCUUGGAGGCACUGGGCUAAUUGAUGUAUGUGCAUUAUCUCCAUCAAUCCUCACAUCAACUCUAUCAAGCAACUAUGAUUACUGCCCCAUUUUACAGAUAUACAAUCUAGGUGGUUCUUUUCCUGGCCUUACCAGGAAUCACUGAUGUGGUUGCUGUUGCUGAUGGCCCCAUUGGAACUGGAGGUUCCCAGAGGGCCUCAAUCACAUAUUUGGCAGCUGGAGCCAAUGGAGGUACUUCAGUUCUCUUAUCUGUGGCCUUUUAACCUUCACUAUGCUGGACCGACCUUCACAGCAUGAUGGCCUCAGGAAUCUAAGACAGUGAAGGUGGAAACUGCAAGGACCCUGAGAUGACAAGCUACUCAAGAGUAACCACUUCAAGCGGGGCCAUCCAGGAGAACUGUGUUGUUCUGUGACAUAAAUGAACUAAACUUUGAUAGUGAGUCGCUUUCCACUAAGGUUUUACGAAGGAGAUUUUGGUCUUGCGUUCACUCCUGAGGUGUCCAUCCUGCUUCUACACUGUUCCCUGGCUCAUGCCUGCUUCUUUCCAGUCUGUCUUGAGGUAUCAUUCUCAUUUGGGGAUCACUAUAUUUCUCCAAUAUGGUACUGCUGCCAUCACAUGCUGGCCUCAGUGGAGACGUAAUACAAGAAAAGAACUCAAUGCUCCACACCAAGAACAAUACUGUUAAAAGAAACUCAAAGAAGAAAAUGAUGACUUCAAGUCAAAGUAGAGAAAGGAAUGAAUGUAUACUUGUCAUUCUGUGUGUUAAAGAACAAGGAAAGGGGCACUUGCUUGUUGACAGACUGGUCUGAAAUAUAUUUCCUAUGGAAGAAUGAAGGAAGAUGUCUGGAAUGCUCUCCCAGGAAGGAUUCAGUCCUUUCCCUGAGGUCUCGCCAGCUUCUCUGGCUGGUCUGGUUCCAGCAUCUCCUCCCCUGGCUAAAACCUACUUUGACUCUUGGCGAGAAUGUCAUUAGCAGAGGGGAGACAAACUUAGUCUGACAGAUUUUAGAGUUAACGGUGCCAUUAGAAUAGCUGUCAAAGUAAACCCUGCCAGAAUUCAUGGCACUCAUGAAACAAAGAGAGUAAUUUGUUCAAAAUCUUAUUAUCCCAGGAGCGUGUAUAUUAGGAAAAGGAAGAUGAGGUGCUGCUUAAUGUUCCUUGUAACUAAGUAUAUCUCUUCCCCUAAUUCUAACUCACGGCCAUAAGAAAGGAGUUGACUUUCAACUGAAAUGGGCAGCAGGCUGUUCUUUGAUGGGGAAAAUAAACAAUAACAUAUCUUU
RNAcentral lists this long non-coding RNA (1447 nucleotides) under Equus caballus (horse). Its description in RNAcentral is "lncRNA (ENSECAG00000057432.1)". Lineage: Eukaryota; Metazoa; Chordata; Mammalia; Perissodactyla; Equidae. The record is from RNAcentral.